GUUAAGGUUGCUCAGAGAUGCUAUGAUGGGAUGCAUAUCCAUGGGGCCGAGGAUUUCACUAGCAAAUCACCAAAUAGAAGAAGCUUUCUCUCCUCAGAUACCUUUGAUAUUGCGUGGCUUCCCGAUUGAUCCCUUGUCAAAUCAACUUCCUCGAUAUCUCCAUCAUGUAUGACAAGAUUCAAUAUGGCUGUUGAUCCUGGAGCUAGAACCAGUGUUGUGUAGAGGCCAAUACUUGCACAAUGCUAG
This is a long non-coding RNA of Rhodamnia argentea, 246 nucleotides long. RefSeq lists it as uncharacterized. NCBI's taxonomy places the organism in Eukaryota, Viridiplantae, Streptophyta, Magnoliopsida, Myrtales, Myrtaceae. The record is from RefSeq and is a predicted model, not a curated record. The transcript is spliced from 2 exons.